AGUUUGAUCCUGGCUCAGGAUGAACGCUAGCUACAGGCUUAACACAUGCAAGUCGAGGGGCAGCAUUGGAGUAGCAAUACUUCAGAUGGCGACCGGCGCACGGGUGAGUAACACGUAUCCAACCUGCCGCUUACUCGGGGAUAGCCUUUCGAAAGAAAGAUUAAUACCCGAUGGUAUAAAGAGUUCGCAUGUUCUCUUUAUUAAAGAAUUUCGGUAAGCGAUGGGGAUGCGUUCCAUUAGAUUGUUGGCGGGGUAACGGCCCACCAAGUCUACGAUGGAUAGGGGUUCUGAGAGGAAGGUCCCCCACAUUGGAACUGAGACACGGUCCAAACUCCUACGGGAGGCAGCAGUGAGGAAUAUUGGUCAAUGGACGAGAGUCUGAACCAGCCAAGUAGCGUGAAGGAUGACUGCCCUAUGGGUUGUAAACUUCUUUUAUAAGGGAAUAAAGUGAGGGACGUGUCCCUUUUUGUAUGUACCUUAUGAAUAAGGAUCGGCUAACUCCGUGCCAGCAGCCGCGGUAAUACGGAGGAUCCGAGCGUUAUCCGGAUUUAUUGGGUUUAAAGGGAGCGUAGGUUGACGUAUAAGUCAGCUGUGAAAGUUUACGGCUCAACCGUGAAAUUGCAGUUGAUACUGUAUGUCUUGAGUGUACAAGAGGUGGGCGGAAUUCGUGGUGUAGCGGUGAAAUGCUUAGAUAUCACGAAGAACUCCAAUUGCGAAGGCAGCUCACUGGGGUACAACUGACACUGAGGCUCGAAAGUGUGGGUAUCAAGCAGGAUUAGAUACCCUGGUAGUCCACACAGUAAACGAUGAAUACUCGCUGUUUGCGAUAUACAGUAAGCGGCCAAGCGAAAGCAUUAAGUAUUCCACCUGGGGAGUACGCCGGCAACGGUGAAACUCAAAGGAAUUGACGGGGGCCCGCACAAGCGGAAGAACAUGUGGUUUAAUUCGAUGAUACGCGAGGAACCUUACCCGGGCUUGAAUUACAGAGGAACAUAGUUGAAAGAUUAUGGCCGCAAGGUCUCUGUGAAGGUGCUGCAUGGUUGUCGUCAGCUCGUGCCGUGAGGUGUCGGCUUAAGUGCCAUAACGAGCGCAACCCUUAUCAUUAGUUACUAACAGGUCAUGCUGAGGACUCUAGUGAGACUGCCGUCGUAAGAUGUGAGGAAGGUGG
RNAcentral lists this ribosomal RNA (1168 nucleotides) under uncultured Bacteroides sp. RNAcentral's name for it is "bacterial SSU rRNA". It matches the Rfam family "Bacterial small subunit ribosomal RNA", at positions 10 to 1176 of the family's 1533-position model. The record is from RNAcentral. Lineage: Bacteria; Pseudomonadati; Bacteroidota; Bacteroidia; Bacteroidales; Bacteroidaceae.